Molecule: ribosomal RNA, 305 nt
Filed under: uncultured bacterium
Lineage: Bacteria
Description: bacterial SSU rRNA
Rfam family: Bacterial small subunit ribosomal RNA
Source: RNAcentral
UCCUACGGGAGGCAGCAGUGGGGAAUAUUGGGCAAUGGGCGGAAGGCUGAACCAGCCAAGUCGCGUGAGGGAAUAAGGCCCUAUGGGUCGUAAACCUCUUUUGUCAGGGAGCAAAGGUGUCCACGAGUGGACGAAAGGAGAGUACCUGAAGAAAAAGCAUCGGCUAACUCCGUGCCAGCAGCCGCGGUAAUACGGAGGAUGCGAGCGUUAUCCGGAUUUAUUGGGUUUAAAGGGUGCGUAGGCGGGCUGUUAAGUCAGCGGUAAAAGCCCGGGGCUCAACCCCGGCGAGCCGUUGAAACUGGCUG